Molecule: small nucleolar RNA, 133 nt
Organism: Cavia porcellus (domestic guinea pig)
Lineage: Eukaryota; Metazoa; Chordata; Mammalia; Rodentia; Caviidae
Gene: SNORA70
Rfam family: Small nucleolar RNA SNORA70
About the family: snoRNA U70 seems to be exclusive to mammals and is a member of the H/ACA class of snoRNA which contain H (ANANNA) and ACA box motifs. H/ACA box snoRNAs are involved in the conversion of uridines to pseudouridines (5-ribosyluracil) a constituent of structural RNAs (transfer, ribosomal, small nuclear, and small nucleolar).
Source: Ensembl
UUGCAGACCAUUAAGCUGACUGUGUUUUUUUCCUCUUAGGAACUCCAUGUGUGUGGCUACAAACAGCAGCCUCUUUGGCAAUGUAUGGCAGAGUCUGUUGCUUUUAUGGGCUUCACUGGCCUGGAAAUCCUGA